Gossypium arboreum is the source of this 406-nucleotide long non-coding RNA. RefSeq lists it as uncharacterized. The record is from RefSeq and is a predicted model, not a curated record. Lineage: Eukaryota; Viridiplantae; Streptophyta; Magnoliopsida; Malvales; Malvaceae. The transcript has 3 exons.
AUCCUAAGUGCUCAUAUACCUCCAUUGCCGAAACUUAAGCAAGAAAGAAAACAAAACAAAAAGCUAGGGAUUCGGUUAUAUUCAGGCUUGAUUAAGAUCAAUAACCAAAGAAAUCGGAUUUGGAUCGGGGAAAAACGAAAGUUGUCGACUAGCAGCCCCGUCCUGUUUUACGACGUCUGAGAUUUUGGAGUCAAGCUACAAGCUCAGGGACCGUCCGCAAAGUUCAUCACACUAUCAGUUAUUUUGGUACUUUUUUAAGUUAAACUCGAAUUAUGGCAUGUAUAGGCUAGAGCGUGGUAUGGGAAAUAUUGAGCUUUAAUUUUGUAUUAAGGACAUGCGAAUAUGGCUUAUUUCCAUGCUUGUGUUCGGUUCUAGUUUGAUAAAGGUAUAAGUCCAUUUUGAUUAA